RNAcentral lists this ribosomal RNA (450 nucleotides) under uncultured bacterium. Its description in RNAcentral is "partial 16S ribosomal RNA". It matches the Rfam family "Bacterial small subunit ribosomal RNA", at positions 354 to 796 of the family's 1533-position model. The record is from RNAcentral.
GUGGGGAAUCUUCCGCAAUGGACGAAAGUCUGACGGAGCAACGCCGCGUGAGUGAUGAAGGUCUUCGGAUUGUAAAGCUCUGUUAAUCGGGACGAAAGAGCCUAGUGUGAAUAAUGCUAGGAAGUGACAGUACCGGAAUAGAAAGCCACGGCUAACUACGUGCCAGCAGCCGCGGUAAUACGUAGGUGGCAAGCGUUGUCCGGAAUUAUUGGGCGUAAAGCGCGCGCAGGCGGAUCUGCCAGUCUGUCUUAAAAGUUCGGGGCUUAACCCCGUGAUGGGAUGGAAACUACAGAUCUAGAGUAUCGGAGAGGAAAGUGGAAUUCCUAGUGUAGCGGUGAAAUGCGUAGAUAUUAGGAAGAACACCAGUGGCGAAGGCGACUUUCUGGACGAAAACUGACGCUGAGGCGCGAAAGCCAGGGGAGCGAACGGGAUUAGAUACCCUAGUAGUCC